ACCCGACCAGCAGCGAUCGGUUAUAUCUAAAUGAACCGGGAGCUCAGGCUGGAAGUGUCCUUGCCAUUGCCAUUGUGUUAGCUGGUCUAGCUGUUUUAACCUGCUGGCUGUGGAAAAGGAAAUCCCCUCACCAGAAAUCAUAUGCAGAUGUUCAACAAAAUGAAGAUGGAGCACAUCACAAUACACCCGUUUAAAUGGGAAAUUCUCAGAGAAUUUGGGCAGCUGGUGAUAUACCAAGAGAAUGCUGAAGCUAUGGAUGCUAUGUUGAAGCCAAGG
This 276-nucleotide long non-coding RNA is filed under the name Gopherus evgoodei (Goodes thornscrub tortoise). Its description in RNAcentral is "lncRNA (ENSGEVG00005000483.1)". Lineage: Eukaryota; Metazoa; Chordata; Testudines; Testudinidae. The record is from RNAcentral.